AUACGAGGGGUGCAAGCGUUGUUCGGAAUUACUGGGCGUAAAGGGAGCGUAGGCGGAGAUUCAAGCGGAUUGUACAAUCCCGGGGCCCAACCCCGGCUCUGCAGUCCGAACUGGAUCUCUUGGAUAGUUCAGGGGCAGGCGGAAUUCCUGGUGUAGCGGUGGAAUGCGUAGAGAUCAGGAAGAACACCGAUGGCGAAGGCAGCCUGCUGGGGACUUAUCGACGCUGAGGCUCGAAAGUGCGGGUAGCAAACAGGAUUAGAUACCCUGGUAGUCCGCACCGUAAACGAUGCAUACUGGGUGUCCGGGGGUUCCCCCGGGUACCGUAGCCAACGCGUUAAGUAUGCCGCCUGGGGAGUACGUACGCAAGUAUGAAACUCAAAUGAAUCGACGGGG
RNAcentral lists this ribosomal RNA (393 nucleotides) under uncultured bacterium. RNAcentral's name for it is "partial 16S ribosomal RNA". It matches the Rfam family "Bacterial small subunit ribosomal RNA", at positions 523 to 918 of the family's 1533-position model. The record is from RNAcentral.